RNAcentral lists this ribosomal RNA (194 nucleotides) under uncultured eukaryote. RNAcentral's name for it is "partial 18S ribosomal RNA". It matches the Rfam family "Eukaryotic small subunit ribosomal RNA", at positions 1 to 193 of the family's 1831-position model. The record is from RNAcentral.
UAAACCUGGUUGAUCCUGCCAGUAGUCAUAUGCUUGUCUCAAAGAUUAAGCCAUGCAUGUCUCAGUAUAAGCUUCUAUACGGCGAAACUGCGAAUGGCUCAUUAAAACAGUUAUAGUUUAUUUGAUGGUCAUUCAUUACAUGGAUAACCGUGGUAAUUCUAGAGCUAAUACAUGCGCUCAAACCCAACUUUGUG